This 1542-nucleotide ribosomal RNA is filed under the name Serratia plymuthica. RNAcentral describes it as "bacterial SSU rRNA". It matches the Rfam family "Bacterial small subunit ribosomal RNA". RNAcentral also lists the same sequence under 2 other names. The record is from RNAcentral. Lineage: Bacteria; Pseudomonadati; Pseudomonadota; Gammaproteobacteria; Enterobacterales; Yersiniaceae.
AAAUUGAAGAGUUUGAUCAUGGCUCAGAUUGAACGCUGGCGGCAGGCCUAACACAUGCAAGUCGAGCGGUAGCACAAGAGAGCUUGCUCUCUGGGUGACGAGCGGCGGACGGGUGAGUAAUGUCUGGGAAACUGCCUGAUGGAGGGGGAUAACUACUGGAAACGGUAGCUAAUACCGCAUAACGUCUACGGACCAAAGUGGGGGACCUUCGGGCCUCACGCCAUCAGAUGUGCCCAGAUGGGAUUAGCUAGUAGGUGGGGUAAUGGCUCACCUAGGCGACGAUCCCUAGCUGGUCUGAGAGGAUGACCAGCCACACUGGAACUGAGACACGGUCCAGACUCCUACGGGAGGCAGCAGUGGGGAAUAUUGCACAAUGGGCGCAAGCCUGAUGCAGCCAUGCCGCGUGUGUGAAGAAGGCCUUAGGGUUGUAAAGCACUUUCAGCGAGGAGGAAGGGUAGUGUGUUAAUAGCACAUUGCAUUGACGUUACUCGCAGAAGAAGCACCGGCUAACUCCGUGCCAGCAGCCGCGGUAAUACGGAGGGUGCAAGCGUUAAUCGGAAUUACUGGGCGUAAAGCGCACGCAGGCGGUUUGUUAAGUCAGAUGUGAAAUCCCCGCGCUUAACGUGGGAACUGCAUUUGAAACUGGCAAGCUAGAGUCUUGUAGAGGGGGGUAGAAUUCCAGGUGUAGCGGUGAAAUGCGUAGAGAUCUGGAGGAAUACCGGUGGCGAAGGCGGCCCCCUGGACAAAGACUGACGCUCAGGUGCGAAAGCGUGGGGAGCAAACAGGAUUAGAUACCCUGGUAGUCCACGCUGUAAACGAUGUCGAUUUGGAGGUUGUGCCCUUGAGGCGUGGCUUCCGGAGCUAACGCGUUAAAUCGACCGCCUGGGGAGUACGGCCGCAAGGUUAAAACUCAAAUGAAUUGACGGGGGCCCGCACAAGCGGUGGAGCAUGUGGUUUAAUUCGAUGCAACGCGAAGAACCUUACCUACUCUUGACAUCCAGAGAACUUUCCAGAGAUGGAUUGGUGCCUUCGGGAACUCUGAGACAGGUGCUGCAUGGCUGUCGUCAGCUCGUGUUGUGAAAUGUUGGGUUAAGUCCCGCAACGAGCGCAACCCUUAUCCUUUGUUGCCAGCGAUUCGGUCGGGAACUCAAAGGAGACUGCCGGUGAUAAACCGGAGGAAGGUGGGGAUGACGUCAAGUCAUCAUGGCCCUUACGAGUAGGGCUACACACGUGCUACAAUGGCGUAUACAAAGAGAAGCGAACUCGCGAGAGCAAGCGGACCUCAUAAAGUACGUCGUAGUCCGGAUUGGAGUCUGCAACUCGACUCCAUGAAGUCGGAAUCGCUAGUAAUCGUAGAUCAGAAUGCUACGGUGAAUACGUUCCCGGGCCUUGUACACACCGCCCGUCACACCAUGGGAGUGGGUUGCAAAAGAAGUAGGUAGCUUAACCUUCGGGAGGGCGCUUACCACUUUGUGAUUCAUGACUGGGGUGAAGUCGUAACAAGGUAACCGUAGGGGAACCUGCGGUUGGAUCACCUCCUUA